CCUACGGGAGGCAGCAGUGGGGAAUUUUCCGCAAUGGGCGCAAGCCUGACGGAGCAACGCCGCGUGAGGGAUGAAGGCCUCUGGGCUGUAAACCUCUUUUCUCAAGGAAGAAGACCUGACGGUACUUGAGGAAUAAGCCACGGCUAAUUCCGUGCCAGCAGCCGCGGUAAUACGGGAGUGGCAAGCGUUAUCCGGAAUUAUUGGGCGUAAAGCGUCCGCAGGCGGCCUAUUAAGUCUGUCGUUAAAGCGUGGAGCUCAACUCCAUUUAAGCGAUGGAAACUGGAAGGCUAGAGUGUGGUAGGGGCAGAGGGAAUUCCCGGUGUAGCGGUGAAAUGCGUAGAUAUCGGGAAGAACACCAGUGGCGAAGGCGCUCUGCUGGGCCAUAACUGACGCUCAUGGACGAAAGCCAGGGGAGCGAAAGGGAUUAGAUACCCCUGUAGUCCUGGCCGUAAACGAUGAACACUAGGUGUCGGGGGAAUCGACCCCUCGGUGUCGUAGCUAACGCGUUAAGUGUUCCGCCUGGGGUGGUACGCACGCGAGUGUGAACGUACAAUAGAAGUUAGACGGCGUGUAGACGUUGCCGACGGACGACGACGAGGGAGGUUAGG
Molecule: ribosomal RNA, 608 nt
Filed under: uncultured bacterium
Lineage: Bacteria
Description: bacterial SSU rRNA
Rfam family: Bacterial small subunit ribosomal RNA (bases 1-520)
Source: RNAcentral